RNAcentral lists this transfer RNA (63 nucleotides) under Cimex lectularius (bed bug). RNAcentral's name for it is "tRNA-Tyr". Lineage: Eukaryota; Metazoa; Arthropoda; Insecta; Hemiptera; Cimicidae. The record is from RNAcentral.
UAAUAAGAGGCUCAUGCCAUAGAUAAAUUUACAAUUUAUUGCCUUAAAUUCAGCCACCUUAUU